This 253-nucleotide ribosomal RNA is filed under the name uncultured bacterium. Its description in RNAcentral is "partial 16S ribosomal RNA". It matches the Rfam family "Bacterial small subunit ribosomal RNA", at positions 524 to 776 of the family's 1533-position model. The record is from RNAcentral.
AACGUAGGAGACAAACGUUAUCCGGAGUUACUGGGCGUAAAGGGCGUGUAGGUGGUAUCGUAAGUCUGGCGUGAAAUUUCUCGGCUUAACCGAGGCAGGUCGUCGGAUACUGCGAGGCUAGAGGACGGUAGAGGCGUGUGGAAUUCCGGGUGUAGUGGUGAAAUGCGUAGAGAUCCGGAGGAACACCAGUGGCGAAGGCGACACGCUGGGCCGUACCUGACACUGAUGCGUGACAGCAUGGGGAGCAAACAGG